AGGCCAGUUUUUCUAUAGGCUGUUGGGAUGCUAAAUCAUUUUUAUCCAACUAACUCAGUUUCAUUUUUUGGAAUUUAGAUUGUGUGUGUACUUUAUUUGAACUCCUUCCUACAUCACCUUGUUAUUGUAAAAUAGUUCUGGUUGAGAAAGAAAUGAAUAGGGAAUGGUGAGGCCACAUGUAUGAUUCACUUGUAAGGUCCAAGUAAUUGCGCUUGUGUAGAUGAGCUGUAUUAAUACAGUGGCUAUACCUUUUUGUCGAUUUACCUAGUGCAGCCAAUUCUUCCCAGACCAGAAUUAUAUUCUUACAUAAAACGCAGUUUUUCAGUUUGCUUGGCUGUUUUUAAUGUUCCACUAACAUUACUCUCCCUUGUGAUAAUUAGAUGUUUUAUUUGCAAAAAUGAUAAAUGACAUAAAAAUUGGGUAGACUAAAAAAAAUUCAUGUGUUUGUAAAACUUCUACUUAUUUACUAUUAUGGAGUUCUGGACUUAUGGGGCAGAAACCUAGAAUUUUGCUUGUUUUGAAUGUGUGUUUUUUUUCUUUUUGUUUUGCCUGAGUCUGUAGUCAAGGGCUUUUAUUCUUUUAGACCUUUUGAUGCUACGGAACAACAGUAUUAUAGAUGCUUUCAGGUAAAAGACACCACCCCACCCUCCAAAAGAGCUUCUUGUGGGGUUUUCAUGUCAAAGAGGCUGGCUGUUGAACCCUUGACUCCCACCUAAAAUUACCCUCAGGUGUACUGACAAAACCUGUUCUAGUUGGUUUCAGACAAUAGACUUGUAGAGUUUGUUGGUAAAACAUAGAUUCUUGUGGGACAGAAUAAUGGAAUGUGGACCUCACUUUACCAGGACUACCGUUUUUACUUGCUGUUAAAUGCUGGUUUGCUGACCAUAUCUAUAAAAUAUUUUUUCAUAAGAAGGUAUACAUGGAGCUCAUAAUUGUUAGAUUUCACCAUCAAAUCUGUUUUGUAAUUUUUACUUUUAACUGCUUAAAUUUUGUUUCCUGAGUGUUGCUUUGUUUGAUAUAAUAGUGUUAAACUGUUAAUGGGGGUUGUAACUUUUGAUGUUGCAGUUAGCUCAUGCUCAUUGGAAAAAUUAUUUCCUGAAGACCAUAUGGUUGCUAAUUGCUAUAGUAGUUUACUCCUGGCAAUGGUUGCUUUCUUUUCCGUGUGUGCUUGUCCAUGUCAGUCACGCAAUUUGGCAAUGACAUUUUCAUAGUUAUUUCUUUGUAUCAGCUAUGUUCGGGCUGUGUAAAUGGUAUUUUAAACUCACUUUCUAGUUAUGGGUUGUGGUUUGAGAAUUUGAUUUUGGGCGAUGCUACGUAUCUAGAUGUUCAAAAUUCCUGAGCAAAAAAGUUUAUUGUGUAGUAAUUGUUUAUUCAGCAAUGGAAUUCACCGGCAGUUACUUAUUUCUUAGAUGUCAUGCUAAAUUGUAGAUUUCUUUGCAGGCUCGCCAUCAUGGCUUCCGAA
This 1462-nucleotide unclassified non-coding RNA is filed under the name Hevea brasiliensis (rubber tree). The record is from RNAcentral. Lineage: Eukaryota; Viridiplantae; Streptophyta; Magnoliopsida; Malpighiales; Euphorbiaceae.